GUGGUAAGUUAGAAUAUAUGUAUUUGAAAACAAAUGAGACAAACUUUUCAUUGAUCUCUCAUGCAAAAAUAAAAAGUGGUUAAACCCAUGCUUUUCGUUAAAACAUGUUCUUUAAUACAUGCAAUCACCAACAGUUGUUCAUUAUGUGGGUUUUCAAGUAAAUAGGUCAUUUAAAUGUACUCUGACUUAUUGUUUGUUAAAUUCUAUUUGGAAUAGUUUGUUCCAGUUUUUUUUAUUUGAUUUGAUCUUUUCCUACCAUAAAUGGGUUCCACUAUUACCAAACCCAAUACCAGCAUAACAGCUUGCCAUGUGCAUUUCUGAUCUAGCCUCAACAUCGCCUUUGUCGUAAACAGCUCUGAAGUAAAAUACGGGUAAAUCUGAAAUACAUUUCUUUUUUUUUUUUGGGGGGUGGUGGGGGGAUUUCAUGAAUCCAUUGAUCACUGUUGGUUGCAACUCUGACAAAAUAGUGUAUAGAUUAAAUCCCACAUUAACUACAAAAAUAAUUUUUAAGAAGAUUAUUUUCUAAUAUCAUAAUCUUUUUUUAAAGCCAGAUGCAAAGAAAUAGCAAAAAGCAAUCGUAACUCAAUGAACUUUCUUGACUUUUUU
Molecule: long non-coding RNA, 606 nt
Filed under: Mytilus galloprovincialis (Mediterranean mussel)
Lineage: Eukaryota; Metazoa; Mollusca; Bivalvia; Mytilida; Mytilidae
Source: RNAcentral